RNAcentral lists this ribosomal RNA (916 nucleotides) under uncultured bacterium. RNAcentral describes it as "bacterial SSU rRNA". It matches the Rfam family "Bacterial small subunit ribosomal RNA", at positions 8 to 916 of the family's 1533-position model. The record is from RNAcentral.
AGAGUUUGAUCAUGGCUCAGAUUGAACGCUGGCGGAAUGCUUUACACAUGCAAGUCGAACGGCAGCACGGGAGCUUGCUCCUGGUGGCGAGUGGCGAACGGGUGAGUAAUGCAUCGGAACGUACCCAGUCGUGGGGGAUAACUAUCCGAAAGGAUAGCUAAUACCGCAUACGUCCUGAGGGAGAAAGCGGGGGACCGUAAGGCCUCGCGCGAUUGGAGUGGCCGAUGUUCGAUUAGCUAGUUGGUGAGGUAAAGGCUCACCAAGGCGACGAUCGAUAGCUGGUCUGAGAGGAUGAUCAGCCACACUGGAACUGAGACACGGUCCAGACUCCUACGGGAGGCAGCAGUGGGGAAUUUUGGACAAUGGGGGCAACCCUGAUCCAGCCAUUCCGCGUGAGUGAAGAAGGCCUUCGGGUUGUAAAGCUCUUUCGGCAGGAACGAAACGGCGACUACUAAUACUAGUUGCUAAUGACGGUACCUGAAGAAGAAGCACCGGCUAACUACGUGCCAGCAGCCGCGGUAAUACGUAGGGUGCGAGCGUUAAUCGGAAUUACUGGGCGUAAAGCGUGCGCAGGCGGUUUCGUAAGACAGCUGUGAAAUCCCCGGGCUUAACCUGGGAACUGCGGUUGUGACUGCGAGACUAGAGUCAGGCAGAGGGGGGUGGAAUUCCACGUGUAGCAGUGAAAUGCGUAGAGAUGUGGAGGAACACCGAUGGCGAAGGCAGCCCCCUGGGCUAUGACUGACGCUCAUGCACGAAAGCGUGGGGAGCAAACACGAUUAGAUACCCUGGUAGUCCACGCCCUAAACGAUGCCAACUAGGUGUUGGGGAAGGAGACUUCCUUAGUACCGUAGCUAACGCGUGAAUUUGGCCGCCUGGGGAGUACGGUCGCAAGAUUAAAAUUUAAAGGAAUUGACGG